UUUUAUUUUAUUAUAGUAUAGGUUUAAUUUAUAAAUUUUAAUUUAUAUAAAAAAAUUAUUUAAAAAUUUAUUUAGAUUUUGUAAUAUUUAUAAUUAAUUAAUAAUAUAAUUUUUGAAUUAAAAAUUUUAAUAAGCUUUAACUAAUUUAUGUGCCAGCAGUUGCGGUUAAACAAUUGAAGUAAGUUAAAUUUUAAAAUAUUUAUUGUAAAAUUUAAUUUAAAUUUAUUUAAAUUUAAAAUUUUUGGUGAAAUAAAAUUUUUAAUAAAUUAUUAUAAUUAUAUGAUAUUUUUAUAUAAUAAUAAACUAGGAUUAGAUACCCUAUUAUUUAUAUUUAAAAUAAUAUUAUUGAUUAUUAAAUGUAAAAUCAUUAAAUUUAAUUGAUAUGGGGGGGAUUUAAAUAUUUAGGGGAACUUGAAUUUUAAUUUGAUAAUCCACGAUUAUAAUUACUUAUAUUAUUGUUUUGUAUGUUUGUUUUAAAAAAUUUAAUUUAAUAAAAUUAUUUUAAAUUUUUAUUAAUAUUUUUAUUUAAAAAAUUAUUCAAAUCAAUAUUUACUUGUAUAUAAGAAUUUUUUGAGUUACAAUAAAUUUAAUUUUUGGAUAAAAGUUUUUAAUAAUUUUUAAAAAUUGGAUUUAAAAGUAAUUUUUAAAUAAAUUAUAAUUGAAUAAAUUUUAAAUUGUCUACAAACUGCCCGUCACUCUUUUUUAAAAAAAGAUAAGUCGUAACAAGGUAAAUGUAUUGGAAAAUAUAUUUAGAGGUAU
RNAcentral lists this non-coding RNA (759 nucleotides) under Trissolcus japonicus. The record is from RNAcentral. Lineage: Eukaryota; Metazoa; Arthropoda; Insecta; Hymenoptera; Scelionidae.